CCCUUAGAUGUCCGGGGCUGCACGCGCGCUACACUGAAGGAAUCAGCGUGCUAAAACCAUUGUCGAAAGGCAUUGGUAAACCCAUUAAAAUCCUACGUGAUUGGGAUCGGGAAUUGCAAUUAUUUCCCUUGAACGAGGAAUUCCCAGUAAGUGUGGGUCAUAAGCUCGCGUUGAUUACGUCCCUGCCCUUUGUACACACCGCCCGUCGCUGCCCGGGACUGAGCCGUUUCGAGAAAAGCGGGGACUGCUGCUGUCGGGGCUUUCGGGCCUUGGCUUCGGUGGAAACCGCUUUAAUCGCANUNGCUUGGNCCGGGCAAAANUCGUANCA
This 328-nucleotide ribosomal RNA is filed under the name uncultured eukaryote. Its description in RNAcentral is "partial 18S ribosomal RNA". It matches the Rfam family "Eukaryotic small subunit ribosomal RNA", at positions 1470 to 1796 of the family's 1831-position model. The record is from RNAcentral.